AACGAACGCUGGCGGCAGGCCUAACACAUGCAAGUCGAGCGCACCCUUCGGGGUGAGCGGCGGACGGGUGAGUAACGCGUGGGAACGUGCCCUUCUCUGCGGAAUAGCCUCGGGUAACUGAGAGUAAUACCGCAUACGCCCUUUGGGGGAAAGAUUUAUCGGAGAAGGAUCGGCCCGCGUUGGAUUAGGUAGUUGGUGGGGUAAUGGCCCACCAAGCCGACGAUCCAUAGCUGGUUUGGGAGGAUGAUCAGCCACACUGGGACUGAGACACGGCCCAGACUCCUACGGGAGGCAGCAGUGGGGAAUCUUAGACAAUGGGGGCAACCCUGAUCUAGCCAUGCCGCGUGAGUGAUGAAGGCCUUAGGGUUGUAAAGCUCUUUCAGCUGGGAAGAUAAUGACGGUACCAGCAGAAGAAGCCCCGGCUAACUCCGUG
RNAcentral lists this ribosomal RNA (433 nucleotides) under uncultured bacterium. RNAcentral describes it as "partial 16S ribosomal RNA". It matches the Rfam family "Bacterial small subunit ribosomal RNA", at positions 29 to 507 of the family's 1533-position model. The record is from RNAcentral.